ACGCUCGACACCUACGGGGGCAGCAGUCGGGAAUAUUGCGCAAUGGAGGAAACUCUGACGCAGUGACGCCGCGUAUAGGAAGAAGGUUUUCGGAUUGUAAACUAUUGUCGUUAGGGAAGAUACAAGACAGUACCUAAGGAGGAAGCACCGGCUAACUAUGUGCCCGCAGCCGCGGUAAUCUGAGCGGGCUGGCAAGGC
This 198-nucleotide ribosomal RNA is filed under the name uncultured bacterium. Its description in RNAcentral is "partial 16S ribosomal RNA". It matches the Rfam family "Bacterial small subunit ribosomal RNA", at positions 328 to 539 of the family's 1533-position model. The record is from RNAcentral.